This 636-nucleotide ribosomal RNA is filed under the name uncultured Nocardioides sp. RNAcentral describes it as "bacterial SSU rRNA". It matches the Rfam family "Bacterial small subunit ribosomal RNA", at positions 338 to 974 of the family's 1533-position model. The record is from RNAcentral. Lineage: Bacteria; Bacillati; Actinomycetota; Actinomycetes; Propionibacteriales; Nocardioidaceae.
CCUACGGGAGGCAGCAGUGGGGAAUAUUGGACAAUGGGCGGAAGCCUGAUCCAGCAACGCCGCGUGAGGGAUGACGGCCUUCGGGUUGUAAACCUCUUUCGCCUGUGACGAAGCGAGCCUUUGGGUGAGUGACGGUAGCGGGUAAAGAAGCACCGGCCAACUACGUGCCAGCAGCCGCGGUAAUACGUAGGGUGCGAGCGUUGUCCGGAAUUAUUGGGCGUAAAGGGCUCGUAGGCGGUUUGUCGCGUCGGGAGUGAAAACCAGGUGCUUAACACCUGGCUUGCUUUCGAUACGGGCAGACUAGAGGUAUUCAGGGGAGAACGGAAUUCCUGGUGUAGCGGUGAAAUGCGCAGAUAUCAGGAGGAACACCGGUGGCGAAGGCGGUUCUCUGGGAAUGACCUGACGCUGAGGAGCGAAAGUGUGGGGAGCGAACAGGAUUAGAUACCCUGGUAGUCCACACCGUAAACGUUGGGCGCUAGGUGUGGGGUCCAUUCCACGGAUUCCGUGCCGCAGCUAACGCAUUAAGCGCCCCGCCUGGGGAGUACGGCCGCAAGGCUAAAACUCAAAGGAAUUGACGGGGGCCCGCACAAGCGGCGGAGCAUGCGGAUUAAUUCGAUGCAACGCGAAGAACCUUAC